AUCGCUUCUUCGGCUUAUUAGCUAAGAUCAAAGUGUAGUAUCUGUUCUUAUCCUAUUAACCUACGGUAUACACUCAAAUGAGUGUAAUAAAGGUUACCGUAAAACCUAUAAUAGAAGAACCCCUAUAAUUAAAGGACCCCUA
This 142-nucleotide small nuclear RNA is filed under the name Caenorhabditis japonica. Its description in RNAcentral is "snRNA CJA48660". The stretch from base 1 to 109 matches the Rfam family "U2 spliceosomal RNA". From Rfam's summary of the family: U2 is a small nuclear RNA (snRNA) component of the spliceosome (involved in pre-mRNA splicing). Complementary binding between U2 snRNA (in an area lying towards the 5' end but 3' to hairpin I) and the branchpoint sequence (BPS) of the intron results the bulging out of an unpaired adenosine, on the BPS, which initiates a nucleophilic attack at the intronic 5' splice site, thus starting the first of two transesterification reactions that mediate splicing. The record is from RNAcentral. Lineage: Eukaryota; Metazoa; Nematoda; Chromadorea; Rhabditida; Rhabditidae.